Molecule: transfer RNA, 76 nt
Filed under: Acidobacteriota bacterium
Lineage: Bacteria; Pseudomonadati; Acidobacteriota
Description: Acidobacteria bacterium (activated sludge metagenome) tRNA-Ile
Rfam family: tRNA
About the family: Transfer RNA (tRNA) molecules are approximately 80 nucleotides in length.
Source: RNAcentral
GCCCCUGUAGCUCAACGGUUAGAGCGCCGGACUCAUAAUCCGUCGGCUGUAGGUUCGAAUCCUACCGGGGGCACCA